This 35-nucleotide transfer RNA is filed under the name Muehlenbeckia volcanica. RNAcentral describes it as "partial tRNA-Leu". Lineage: Eukaryota; Viridiplantae; Streptophyta; Magnoliopsida; Caryophyllales; Polygonaceae. The record is from RNAcentral.
CUUAGUAUGGAAACCUACUAAGUGAGAACUUUCAA